CGCUGCCCCACCGCACUGGUUGUUUCCUUCGUCCAGAAGAAAGAGAGAGGAAGGAGGUCGCCAGAUACGCCCGCCCCGCUCCAACCCUCUUCUCCUCCUCACGUACGACACCUCCUUUCUCCUCCCUCUCCCCCUCUCUCUCAGACCCACUGGCGGCGGAGACUGGUGGCAGAACACUGCACGCGCCGGCCGGCGAGGAGGAGCUGCGCUGUCGCCGGCGCACCAACUGCGUCUACUGCCUCGCCUCCCCGUUGACCUACAAGAAGGUAUAUUCCCACAUUGAACUGAAUUGUUGCUAUAUUCGGUUGAUUCAGACAUAUUGUAUCUUCAAUGGCUUUCACUGCUGGGCAAAAUCAAGCGAUGGAAGAUCCAUGGUACAUUGUGGUGUUAUCUGCUACUGAUUUACAGGCCUUGUGGUUGUCGUUCCCAUGGCUGUGCCGUUCACGUUUAUGCAGGGUUUAAAGUUUGAUGUAGGAUGGGCACACAAGUUUGAUGUUUGCAGUUACAGAUUUUUGUCAAAGCCCGCUGAAACGAAGUUUAGUUCAGCAGACCAUGUAUGUUGGAAGAAAGCAAAUUUCUUGCCUUCUGAAUCCUCCGUAGCCAUCAUAUUUUAUUUCAGACCGAAUUGUCCCAGCUCAGUGUAUCUCAGCGAAGUAGCGGGUUCAUGCAAGGCCUGGCCGACGGCAACGACUUUAGGGGCUGUCGUGCUUUGCAUACUUCAUCUAGGUAAAUUGUGCUAGCUUUCAGAUUAUUCAUUUUCGUUUUACCCUGUCAAAGAUCUUCUCAGAUUAGUUAACCAAGCUAUGUAAUGAUGGUGUUGUGAUUCCGAGGGCUCCGUUGGAGGAUCAGCUUUGGUUCAGAGGCAGGUUUUGGGCAUACCGCAGCACAAGCAGAGGCAUAUCUCAGUCGAUGCUACUGCAGUUGAUGAUGCCCUGAAGCUUUCUUCAGUAACUGACUCAGCGUGCCGCUGUUCUCUAAGGUCGUUGAGUGCUGAGAACAGGCAAUAUAAUUAGGCUUUUAACGAGAAGAUGGAGGAGAUAAAAACUUUCAGGAAGUGUUUAGGCGAGUUCCAUGCCGAAAAUAAUGUUAUGUGAGCAGAGAGUGCAGGCUUGUGGUCUUCUGUUGAAGAGCUUGAGCAUGAGAGAUUGAAUCAACACAUAAGUCAUGAGAGCAUAUAUUUAGACGAGGAGAGGUGACUGGUCAAAGAAAUUAAGACCCUUGAAAAAACCAGACCGAGGGUCAGUUCCAAUGCUGCUAAGCAAGCUAAACUGGAAGAUAUAGUGGUUGAGAGAGAUGCCAUACAUGAUCAGGUGAAAAUCAUCAUACAUGGAGUAAAGGAGGGAGAAGCAGCCAUGUCUAAGAUUAAGGUCCUGGACGAUGAGGCGAUGGGCGUGGAGAGCUGCUACAAGCUCGCGCAGGCGGCAUACGUCAACCUCGCGCUGCACACACUCAAGCACCUGGCGCCCGUCGUCAAUGGGCUCCUCGUCCAUGAUUAGCUGGACAACAUGAACCUCGAGGAGGUUGUGAAGGGGAACAUCUGUGACGCCGUUCUUUAGGUGCUCGCCCAUAUCUAUAUAAUAAUAAUGGUGCAAUACUGCAUAGGAGGAAGUUGUUUGGGCCUUUUACUGAUGGAUAUAUUUCUUACUUUUGAUCCUCAUCAAUAAUCUCCAGGUCUUUGGGAGUUUGCUAGCAGUCCUGGUCAGACUUGGACCAGGGACUAGCGUCCUGGAUGCCUUGGCAUGCUCGGCUCCACCGGUGUUGCAAGCCCAGUUCAUUUCAGGAUCAUCAAGCUUCCCGUGUACAUCUACCACCCAAGUCAUGUGAACGAGCCGAUGAAGAUACUCAACAUUAUUUGCUUCAGCUACUUCCUUCGUAACUACAAGAUACUUAAGAUGGAGGCCUGCUCGUGGAUGCUCCACUGGUUUACUGCAGUUUCAAGGGCUUAGGGAGCGCCUCCUUGUUGACAACCUCUUCCUUGCCAAGCUUGUCAUGGAGUGCGUCGUCGAGCCAUCAGCAAUGUCUGUUUUAUUUUGAGAAGCCGUCACUCACCGGAUUUAGAUAGAUCAUCCGCGACUGCCACUGCCGCCUGUCGGAGCUGUUAACUCAGCUUUACCCUAUUUUGAACUGUGGCUCCACUUUUGGACAGAAUGUACGAUUAUGUAUGCCAGUAUCAAAAACUGUGUCCCCUUCA
Non-coding RNA from Triticum urartu, 2191 nucleotides. The record is from RefSeq and is a predicted model, not a curated record. NCBI's taxonomy places the organism in Eukaryota, Viridiplantae, Streptophyta, Magnoliopsida, Poales, Poaceae.